RNAcentral lists this transfer RNA (70 nucleotides) under Candidatus Coproplasma stercoripullorum. RNAcentral describes it as "tRNA-Thr". It matches the Rfam family "tRNA". From Rfam's summary of the family: Transfer RNA (tRNA) molecules are approximately 80 nucleotides in length. Their secondary structure includes four short double-helical elements and three loops (D, anti-codon, and T loops). Further hydrogen bonds mediate the characteristic L-shaped molecular structure. tRNAs have two regions of fundamental functional importance: the anti-codon, which is responsible for specific mRNA codon recognition, and the 3' end, to which the tRNAs corresponding amino acid is attached (by aminoacyl-tRNA synthetases). tRNAs cope with the degeneracy of the genetic code in two manners: having more than one tRNA (with a specific anti-codon) for a particular amino acid; and 'wobble' base-pairing, i.e. permitting non-standard base-pairing at the 3rd anti-codon position. Lineage: Bacteria; Bacillati; Bacillota; Clostridia; Eubacteriales. The record is from RNAcentral.
AUGGCUCAGCAGGUAGAGCACGUCCUUGGUAAGGACGAGGUCACCGGUUCAAAUCCGGUUAGCAGCUCCA